UACGUAGGGGGCGAGCGUUGUCCGGAAUCAUUGGGCGUAAAGCGCGUGUAGGCGGCCCGGUAAGUCCGCUGUGAAAGUCCAGGGCUCAACCCUGGGAUGCCGGUGGAUACUGUCGGGCUCGAGUCCGGAAGAGGCGAGUGGAAUUCCUGGUGUAGCGGUGAAAUGCGCAGAUAUCUGGAGGAACACCGGUGGCGAAGGCGGCAUCCUGGACCGGCAUUGACGCUGAGGCGCGAAAGCCAGGGGAGCAAACGGG
Molecule: ribosomal RNA, 253 nt
Filed under: uncultured bacterium
Lineage: Bacteria
Description: partial 16S ribosomal RNA
Rfam family: Bacterial small subunit ribosomal RNA
Source: RNAcentral